This 430-nucleotide ribosomal RNA is filed under the name bacterium. Its description in RNAcentral is "partial 16S ribosomal RNA". It matches the Rfam family "Bacterial small subunit ribosomal RNA", at positions 355 to 776 of the family's 1533-position model. The record is from RNAcentral.
UAGGGAAUCUUCCGCAAUGGACGAAAGUCUGACGGAGCAACGCCGCGUGAGUGAUGAAGGUUUUCGGAUCGUAAAACUCUGUUGUUAGGGAAGAACAAGUACCGUUCGAAUAGGGCGGUACCUUGACGGUACCUAACCAGAAAGCCACGGCUAACUACGUGCCAGCAGCCGCGGUAAUACGUAGGUGGCAAGCGUUGUCCGGAAUUAUUGGGCGUAAAGCGCGCGCAGGCGGUCCUUUAAGUCUGAUGUGAAAGCCCACGGCUCAACCGUGGAGGGUCAUUGGAAACUGGGGGAAUUGAGUGCAGAAGAGGAGAGUGGAAUUCCACGUGUAGCGGUGAAAUGCGUAGAGAUGUGGAGGAACACCAGUGGCGAAGGCGACUCUCUGGUCUGUAACUGACGCUGAGGCGCGAAAGCGUGGGGAGCGAACAGG